This 496-nucleotide ribosomal RNA is filed under the name uncultured bacterium. RNAcentral's name for it is "partial 16S ribosomal RNA". It matches the Rfam family "Bacterial small subunit ribosomal RNA", at positions 29 to 507 of the family's 1533-position model. The record is from RNAcentral.
AUGAACGCUGGCGGCGUGCCUCAUACAUGCAAGUCGAACGCAUAGCGAAAGGUGCUUGCCCCUUUCAAGUGAGUGGCGAACGGGUGAGUAACACGUGGACAACCUGCCUCAAGGCUGGGGAUAACAUUUGGAAACAGAUGCUAAUACCGAAUAAAACUUAGUGUCGCAUGACACAAAGUUAAAAGGCGCUUCGGCGUCACCUAGAGAUGGAUCCGCGGUGCAUUAGUUAGUUGGUGGGGUAAAGGCCUACCAAGACAAUGAUGCAUAGCCGAGUUGAGAGACUGAUCGGCCACAUUGGGACUGAGACACGGCCCAAACUCCUACGGGAGGCUGCAGUAGGGAAUCUUCCACAAUGGGCGAAAGCCUGAUGGAGCAACGCCGCGUGUGUGAUGAAGGCUUUCGGGUCGUAAAGCACUGUUGUAUGGGAAGAACAGCUAGAAUAGGAAAUGAUUUUAGUUUGACGGUACCAUACCAGAAAGGGACGGCUAAAUACGUG